RNAcentral lists this ribosomal RNA (1458 nucleotides) under uncultured Bordetella sp. RNAcentral's name for it is "partial 16S-23S ribosomal RNA intergenic spacer". It matches the Rfam family "Bacterial small subunit ribosomal RNA". The record is from RNAcentral. Lineage: Bacteria; Pseudomonadati; Pseudomonadota; Betaproteobacteria; Burkholderiales; Alcaligenaceae.
GGUUUGAUUCUGGCUCAGAUUGAACGCUGGCCGGGAUGCUUUACAUGCAAGUCGAACGGCAGCGCUUCGGACUUCGGUCUGGUGGCGAGUGGCGAACGGGUGAGUAAUGUAUCGGAACGUGCCCUAGUAGCGGGGAUAACUACGCGAAAGCGUAGCUAAUGCCGCAUACGCCCUUCGGGGAAAGCGAAGGCCUUCGAGGCUCGCACUAUUAAACGGCCGAUAUCGGAUUAGCUAGUUGGUGGGGUAACGGCUCACCAAGGCGACGAUCCGUAGCUGGUUUGAAGGACGACCAGCCACACUGGGACUGAGACACGGCCCAGACUCCUACGGGAGGCAGCAGUAGAGGAAUUUGGAUAAUAAGGGGAAACCCUGAUCCAGCCAUCCCGCGUGUGCGAUGAAACCCCUUCGGGUUAUGCUUCGCUUUUGGCGGGAAAGAAACGGCACGGGGAUAAUACCCGUGCAACUGACAGUCUGCAGAAUAAGCACCGGCUAACUACGUGCCAGCAGCCGCGUGCCAGCCCAGCAGGUGCAAGCAGUCAACAGAUUACUGGGCGUAAAGCGUGCGCAGGUUCGGAAAGAAAGAUGUGAAAUCCCAGAGCUUAACUUUGGAACUGCAUUUUUAACUACGAGCUAGAGUGUGUCAGAGGGAGGUGGAAUUCCGAUGUAGCAGUGGAAAUGCGUAGAUAUGCGGAGGAACACCGAUGGCGAAGAGCAUACUCGCAAGGAUAACACUGACGCUCAUGCACGAAAGCGUGGGGAGCAAACAGGAUUAGAUACCCUGGUAGUCCACGCCCUAAACGAUGUCACUUUAGCUGUUGGGGCCUUCGGGCCUUGGUAGCGCAGCUAACGCGUCGAAGUUGACCGCCUGGGAAGUACAGUCGCAAGAUUAAAGCUGAGAAUUGACAGGGACCUGCAAGCGGUGGAUGAUGUGGACCAAUUCGAUGCAACGCGAAAAACCUUACCUACCCUUGACAUGUCUGGAAUCCCGAAGAGAUUUGGGAGUGCUCAUAAGAACGGAACACAGGUGCUGCAUGGCUGUCGUCAGCUCCGUGUCGUGAGAUGUUGGGUUAAGUCCCGCAACGGCGCAACCCUUGUCAUUAGUUGCUGCGAAAGGCGCUCUAAUGAGACUGCCGGUGACAAACCGGAGGAAGGUGGGGAUGACGUCAAGUCCUCAUGGCCCUUAUGGGUAAAGACUGCGUCGCCACAAUGGUCGGGACAGAGGGUCAACCAACCGCGAGGGAAUGUCGGCGAUCGUAGUCCGGAUCAUGAUCUGCAACUCGACUGCCAUUGAUCGAAUCGCUAGUAAUCGCGGAUCAACGCUGUCGCGGUGAAUACGUUCCGGGUCUUGUACACCGCCCGUCACACCAUGGGAGUGGGUUUUACCAAGUAGUUAGCCUAACCGUAAGGAGGGCGAUUACCACGGUAAGUUCGCGACUGGGGUAAAUCGUAACUAAGGUA